GAUGAACGCUGGCGGCGUGCUUAACACAUGCAAGUCGAACGGAAAGGCCUCUGCUUGCAGGGGUACUCGAGUGGCGAACGGGUGAGUAACACGUGGGUGAUCUGCCCUGCACUUCGGGAUAAGCCUGGGAAACUGGGUCUAAUACCGGAUAGGACAAUGGUUUGGAUGCUGUUGUGGAAAGUUUUUCGGUGUGGGAUGAGCUCGCGGCCUAUCAGCUUGUUGGUGGGGUAAUGGCCUACCAAGGCGUCGACGGGUAGCCGGCCUGAGAGGGUGUACGGCCACAUUGGGACUGAGAUACGGCCCAGACUCCUACGGGAGGCAGCAGUGGGGAAUAUUGCACAAUGGGCGCAAGCCUGAUGCAGCGACGCCGCGUGGGGGAUGACGGCCUUCGGGUUGUAAACUCCUUUCGCUAGGGACGAAGCGUUUUUGUGACGGUACCUGGAGAAGAAGCACCGGCCAACUACGUG
Molecule: ribosomal RNA, 467 nt
Filed under: uncultured bacterium
Lineage: Bacteria
Description: partial 16S ribosomal RNA
Rfam family: Bacterial small subunit ribosomal RNA
Source: RNAcentral